UACGUAGGGUGCAAGCGUUACUCGGAAUUACUGGGCGUAAAGCGUGCGCAGGCGGUUAUGUAAGACAGAUGUGAAAUGCCCGGGCUUAACCUGGGAACUGCAUUUGAGACUGCAUGGCUAGAGUUUGGCAGAGGGGGGUAGAAUUCCACGUGUAGCAGUGAAAUGCGUAGAUAUCGGAAGGAACAUCAGUGGCGAAAGCGACUUCCUGGACCAGUACCGACGUUCAGGCACGAAAGCGUGGGGAGCAAACAGG
RNAcentral lists this ribosomal RNA (253 nucleotides) under uncultured bacterium. RNAcentral describes it as "partial 16S ribosomal RNA". It matches the Rfam family "Bacterial small subunit ribosomal RNA", at positions 524 to 776 of the family's 1533-position model. The record is from RNAcentral.